RNAcentral lists this ribosomal RNA (1389 nucleotides) under uncultured prokaryote. Its description in RNAcentral is "partial 16S ribosomal RNA". It matches the Rfam family "Bacterial small subunit ribosomal RNA". The record is from RNAcentral.
GUGGCUGAUCAUGGCUCAGAUUGAACGCUGGCGGCAUGCUUAAUACAUGCAAGUCGAACGGUAACAGAUUCUUCGGAAUGCUGACGAGUGGCGGACGGGUGAGUAAAGCAUAGGAAUCUGCCCAUGUAGUGGGGGAUAACUUGGGGAAACUCAAGCUAAUACCGCAUAAUUCCUACGGGAUAAAAGGGCCUCUACUUGUAAGCUCUUGCUAUUGGAUGAGCCUAUGUCGGAUUAGUUAGUUGGUGAGGUAAUGGCUCACCAAGACAGCGAUCCGUAGCUGGUUUGAGAGGAUGAUCAGCCACACUGGGACUGAGACACGGCCCAGACUCCUACGGGAGGCAGCAGUAGGGAGUAUUGGACAAUGGGCGCAAGCCUGAUCCAGCAAUGCCGCGUGUGUGAAGAAGGCCUGCGGGUUGUAAAGCACUUUCAAUUGGGAAGAAAGAUUUAGAGUUAAUACCUCUUCAUAUUGAUGUUACCCACAGAAGAAGCACCGGCUAACUCUGUGCCAGCAGCCGCGGUAAUACAGAGGGUGCGAGCGUUAAUCGGAAUUACUGGGCGUAAAGGGUGCGUAGGCGGUUAGAUAAGUUAGGUGUGAAAGGCCCGGGCUUAACCUGGGAACUGCGCCUAAUACUGUUUAGCUAGAGUAUUGUAGAGGAAAGUGGAAUUUCCGGUGUAGCGGUGAAAUGCGUAGAUAUCGGAAGGAACAUCAGUGGCGAAGGCGACUUUCUGGACAAAUACUGACGCUGAGGCACGAAAGCAUGGGGAGCAAACAGGAUUAGAUACCCUGGUAGUCCAUGCCGUAAACGAUGAAGACUGGCUGUUGGGUGCCAUAGGCACUUAGUAGCGAAGCUAACGCGUUAAGUCUUCCGCCUGGGGAGUACGACCGCAAGGUUAAAACUCAAAGGAAUUGACGGGGGCCCGCACAAGCGGUGGAGCAUGUGGUUUAAUUCGACGCAACGCGAAGAACCUUACCUACCCUUGACAUCCUCAGAAUUUUGCUGAGAUAGCGGAGUGCCUUCGGGAACCGAGUGACAGGUGCUGCAUGGCUGUCGUCAGCUCGUGUCGUGAGAUGUUGGGUUAAGUCCCGUAACGAGCGCAACCCCUGUCCUUAGUUGCCAUCAGGUAAAGCUGGGAACUCUAAGGAGACUGCCGGUGAUAAACCGGAGGAAGGUGGGGAUGACGUCAAGUCCUCAUGGCCCUUAUGGGUAGGGCUACACACGUGCUACAAUGGGCAGUACAAAGAGAUGCGAAGCUGUGAAGUGUAGCGAAUCUCAUCAAAGCUGUUCUUAGUCCGGAUUGGAGUCUGCAACUCGACUCCAUGAAGUUGGAAUCGCUAGUAAUCGUGGAUCAGAAUGCCACGGUGAAUACGUUCCCGGGCCUUGCACACAC